RNAcentral lists this ribosomal RNA (544 nucleotides) under uncultured bacterium. RNAcentral's name for it is "partial 16S ribosomal RNA". It matches the Rfam family "Bacterial small subunit ribosomal RNA", at positions 355 to 889 of the family's 1533-position model. The record is from RNAcentral.
UGGGGAAUUUUGGACAAUGGGCGAAAGCCUGAUCCAGCAAUGCCGCGUGUGUGAAGAAGGCCUUCGGGUUGUAAAGCACUUUUGUCCGGAAAGAAAUCCUUGGCUCUAAUACAGUCGGGGGAUGACGGUACCGGAAGAAUAAGCACCGGCUAACUACGUGCCAGCAGCCGCGGUAAUACGUAGGGUGCAAGCGUUAAUCGGAAUUACUGGGCGUAAAGCGUGCGCAGGCGGUUUGCUAAGACCGAUGUGAAAUCCCCGGGCUCAACCUGGGAACUGCAUUGGUGACUGGCAGGCUAGAGUAUGGCAGAGGGGGGUAGAAUUCCACGUGUAGCAGUGAAAUGCGUAGAGAUGUGGAGGAAUACCGAUGGCGAAGGCAGCCCCCUGGGCCAAUACUGACGCUCAUGCACGAAAGCGUGGGGAGCAAAACAGGAUUAGAUACCCUGGUAGUCCAGCGCCCUAAAACGAUGUCAACUAGUUGUUGGGGAUUCAUUUCCUUAGUAACGUAGCUAACGCGUGAAGUUGACCGCCUGGGGAGUACGGUCGC